Long non-coding RNA from Chenopodium quinoa (quinoa), 2031 nucleotides. RefSeq lists it as uncharacterized. Lineage: Eukaryota; Viridiplantae; Streptophyta; Magnoliopsida; Caryophyllales; Amaranthaceae. The transcript has 3 exons. The record is from RefSeq and is a predicted model, not a curated record.
UCAAUUUCGAACAAAAAAUCAGAAAUUUGAGGUUAGGGUUUCUAAUUUAUUUAGCUUUGCGUUAUAUUUUUGUCGAAUUACUUCUAGAAUUGCUGAGUAUAUUCGAGAAUCGUUUUUCAAUUCCCUAAUUCAAGUUAAUUUAGGGUUUUGAUUUCAAUUAAUUUUUCAAUUUUUGAUGGUUAAUUUUUUUUAUUAUAUUUGAUUCUCGUAUUCAACAUGCAGUUGAAUUUGGGAUGUCCAUGGAGCUAAUUUUGUCAAAGUUGACCAGGAGACUCUUCAGUCUCAUCCUUGUAUCCCUUUUUCUCUUUACUCUCGAUUUAAUUGUUUAAUUUCUGGAUUUGCUAUUUUUUUUUCAUUGUUUAUUGAUUGGAUGAAAUAGUUUUUUUUGGGGGGGUUUUAACUUAAAUUUUAAUUUGCUUAGUGUUGAUGCUAUGGAAGACUUGAAAGUGUUGUGUUGUGGAAAAUUUCUUAUUUACAUAUUGAAAUUUGACUGUGGUGAAUAUUGGAUUAUGAGCCAGCAAUUUCAGUCUAGUGAAUUGCCUGGUUCUCGUAUUCAACCUUAUCGUCAUUGGUUUGGUACGUUUUUUCUUACGAAAUUGCUGUUAUUUUUUUAUGCAAAUUUGAUAUAAUUUCAAUAAUUAUUGAAUAUUAAGUUUGGGGAUUUGGAAGAAUUGAACCGAAGUAUUUGAUUGAACGUGAAAUUUGUCAAAUUGCAUUGAUGAUGAUUGAAUUGGUUGAUAUAGUAGUUUUGGGGUUUAAAAUCAGAUUACACAACUCAGUUUUAUUGUGAGUGAUCUAGGGUUUUUUUAAUUUGUUUCAAUAAUUACGAUUGAUCCAGGAUUUUGAUAAUUUGAGCUUUUGGAAUUGUGAAUAUACGGAAAAUUUGAAUUAUGGGUACCCGAAGUAUUUGACUUGUGAGUAUACAGAGUAUUUGAUACUUGAAUCUUGAACUUUAGUAGUUUAAUUUGUGGAUGUAUUGUGAAUAUUGUAUUGGUUGUCAUUUAAUUUGAUUUAAAAAGGUAUAUAUCUUUUUGGGUAUAUUUUGAUUGAUUUCUUGAUUGUGGUAUGCAUAUAUUUUGAUCAGUUUUGGGUUUUUUUUAUUGAAUAUGCAAAUUAAAUCUCAUUUGGUAGUGGAUAAUGGUGGAUUAUUUCAUUAUAUUUUGUUUCUAGUUUGUCUUCUUAUAUUGCCUUAUUGUACCAUAAUUGUUAAGUUUCUUGACAAGUAUAGCUAAGGAAUUAAAAUUGGGUUUUGGAUUGAUUUUCGGAGUUUUUUUUUUUGCGUUUUUUUAUCGAAUGACUUGAAGCUUGAACCUGUUGCCCUGCUUCCCUGCAGUGCACCCCUACUACUGCUACUUUUGCUCUGUUAUAGCUGCUGCUUUUGCUCUGCCGAGAUUAGGCAGGUGUGGCUUUAAGCCUAUGUUUUUAUAUUAAGUUACACUUGUUGCCUGCAACUAUGGCUUUAAUAUCUUCUGGAAAUGAUGAAUUUGUUUGGGAGUAUUCUUGCUGAAGCCAUUGACAAGAUUGGGGCUGAUGGUGUUAUCUGUCGUUCUCAACCUCUGAAACUUACAUAAGGGAAUGAAGGGACCUGUACAGUAACAAUAUCAGGGGGCCAAUACCUAGUGAGCUGGGCAAUCUGGAAAAUUUGGUCAGUUUGGAUCUCUAUUUGAACAGUUUCAGCGGUCCAACUCUGCCAUUUCGGAGUCUUUGGGCAGGCUAUCAAAGUUUUGCUUUCUCUUACAUAUGGAUCUAUAAUCAAAUUGGUGCAUGAAAUAACAAAAUUCAGGCUGCAUUCAGGUUGCUCUAUUGCCUAAUAUGGACGUUGCAUUCUCUUUAGUGCUGCUGCUUCGGUACUACUGUUGUUUAGCUACUGUGAUGCUGUUGUUCUGCUAUUGGGCUGCUGUUAUUUUUUUUUUCAAGUGUAAAAUUACAGGUUAUUAAUGAAAAUUAUCAGUUUCAAGUAUAUUAUGUAUAUCUAUAACAGUUGAUGAUAAAUUCAGAUGAAAAAAGCAAAAAAAAAACAAAUGAUUUUUU